Molecule: long non-coding RNA, 892 nt
Organism: Monodelphis domestica (gray short-tailed opossum)
Lineage: Eukaryota; Metazoa; Chordata; Mammalia; Didelphimorphia; Didelphidae
Source: RefSeq, a predicted model, not a curated record
GUGCAAGUCUGUGAUUGGUUCGCAGAGGUUUCCCUGGUGGAAGUAUUAGCUAGCGUAUCCUUCUAGCAGAAGUGCGAGAUCUACCCUCCCCCACCUCACCUAUUGAGCCAGAGUCAGAGCCAGCUUGUGCCAGAAUCAGCUAGUGAACGAGGGGAACCUCUAGAGAGAGCAAGGGGCACCUCUAGGUCCUUGGGAACUGACUAAGACCACCAAAGUCCUACCCCUGAGAGCAGCUACACCUGAAAUCCCAGUGGGAGGGGGAGCAUAGACCAUGGGCACUCCUGAGAAGGUAAUGCAGAGAAGAGCCCCAAACAGAAGCUGCGAACAUCGAACAGCAGAGGCUGCGGAGAUUCAAGAGCUUACCUCAGGCAAAACCCUUGCUCCUUAACUCCAUACACAGAGAACCUGCCCAGCUCACUCAGAUUUCUGACUAAAAAGGGAAGGUAAAACCUCCACUGUGAUGGCAGAUUGCUCACAGGACCAACAAACACUCUCUAAGAAAAACAAAAAAAGGCAGUGACCCUCGAAAAUUUUUACAGAGGAAAAACCCAGGCUACAGAGGAAAUACAGGUGGAAAUUCAAACACAGACAAAACCUUCUAAAAAAAUGGAAAUUGUCCACAAGCUCUGGAAGAAUUUAAAUUGGAGCUUAUCAAAAAGAUGGAAGCCUUCUGGCAAGAGAGGUGGGAAAUGGUUGAAAGAGGAAGUCAAAAAAUUAUAGCAGAAAGUAAAAAAAUUAAAGCAGAAAACCAGGCCUUAAGGACCAGAAUUGAGCAACUGGAAACCAAUGAUCUGGCAAAACAUCAAGAAUUAAUAAAGCAAAGUCAAAAUAAUAACUAACUUUAUAAUAUAGAUGACUAACAAAAAAUAAAGUUAAUCUUGAAAGCAUAAAA